GGUAAAAAUUAUAAAAUCAAGAAUUUAAAAUUGAUAGUAUAAGCUGGUAAAGCAUUCGUUAAGGAUAAAAAUAAGCUAAAAAUAUUGAUAGGUCAUGGACCUCUUUUUCGAGAUAUUUGAGACUUAAAAUAUGGCGGGAAAAGGCUGACUCUGACUUUUACCUUAUAUUUGCAUUGGUAUUAUUUGGGUCUCAAAACAAAAGAAAGAAAAUCAAGCAUCUUCUAAAAUUUUGGUAAAUGACGUUUCAUGAGCUAUUUAGUCUUAUAUGAAAAAAUAAAUGGGUGUUAUGGGGCAAAAUAUUUUAC
This 305-nucleotide long non-coding RNA is filed under the name Mytilus galloprovincialis (Mediterranean mussel). Lineage: Eukaryota; Metazoa; Mollusca; Bivalvia; Mytilida; Mytilidae. The record is from RNAcentral.